GGGAUGGGUGUACUACAAAAUCAUAUUGAAUGAAGUUUUGGAAACAUUUAGCUAACUUUUGAAUGAUUGUCUCACAAACUGUGAUUCAGUAUCAUGGGAUUUUACACUUUUCUGGAGAAGUUGUGGCUCUGAUAGUGCCAUUACAUUCAUUGUUUAUAUAUAUUGCUUUUAAACAUUGCUCACUUAUAAAAUCUUUCAAUUACUUAAUUUCAUCCCAUGAUACUGAAUCACAGUUUGUAAGGCCCCGUUUACAUGAGACCGGGAUGAAAACCACAAAAUUUUCAAUUUAUUCCCCUUGCCAGGCAGAGGCGUAGCCAGCUCGAUAAGUGGGGGGGGGGG
Molecule: non-coding RNA, 339 nt
Organism: Paramuricea clavata
Lineage: Eukaryota; Metazoa; Cnidaria; Anthozoa; Malacalcyonacea; Plexauridae
Source: the annotation of a GenBank genome assembly